Molecule: ribosomal RNA, 465 nt
Filed under: Vreelandella stevensii
Lineage: Bacteria; Pseudomonadati; Pseudomonadota; Gammaproteobacteria; Oceanospirillales; Halomonadaceae
Description: partial 16S ribosomal RNA
Rfam family: Bacterial small subunit ribosomal RNA
Source: RNAcentral
CCUACGGGAGGCAGCAGUGGGGAAUAUUGGACAAUGGGGGCAACCCUGAUCCAGCCAUGCCGCGUGUGUGAAGAAGGCCCUCGGGUUGUAAAGCACUUUCAGUGAGGAAGAACGCCUGGUGGUUAAUACCCAUCAGGAAAGACAUCACUCACAGAAGAAGCACCGGCUAACUCCGUGCCAGCAGCCGCGGUAAUACGGAGGGUGCGCGCGUUAAUCGGAAUUACUGGGCGUAAAGCGCGCGUAGGUGGCUUGAUAAGCCGGUUGUGAAAGCCCCGGGCUCAACCUGGGAACGGCAUCCGGAACUGUCAAGCUAGAGUGCAGGAGAGGAAGGUAGAAUUCCCGGUGUAGCGGUGAAAUGCGUAGAGAUCGGGAGGAAUACCAGUGGCGAAGGCGGCCUUCUGGACUGACACUGACACUGAGGUGCGAAAGCGUGGGUAGCAAACAGGAUUAGAUACCCUAGUAGUC